UGCAGUAUCACCCAGUUGUACAUCUCUACCCUGGGCUGACCAAGCAAUGUCGUUAAGGUCCUUUUCCAGUGCCUGAAGGCUGUGAGGGUCUGGAUGGGGGAGAGCAGGCUUCGGUUCAACCCAGCUUUGAUCAGGGCUUCAAAUGAAACUGGCCUGGAUUGAGACGUAAGGCAUCUCCACAAAAUAAUGGGAACCUAGUGUUACCAAGCAAGUGAACAAGUUGAACUUUUCCCAAAAAAAAUAUUGAUUCUUAAUGGUUGCUGCAUCUUCACAGCCAGCAUUUUGAAAGCCAGUGAUUUGGCACAAGAGGCUGGACACUAAUGUGCUGGAAAUGAAGCUGGAAAUUGAGCUGCUUCUACUUGAUUUGGUUUGACUCUAGGGCUUUUGGAAAUCUCUGGCUUUAUCC
Python bivittatus (Burmese python) is the source of this 406-nucleotide long non-coding RNA. RefSeq lists it as uncharacterized. NCBI's taxonomy places the organism in Eukaryota, Metazoa, Chordata, Lepidosauria, Squamata, Pythonidae. The record is from RefSeq and is a predicted model, not a curated record.